CUACGGGUCGCACCAGUGAGGAAUAUUGCACAAUGGGGGGAACCCUGAUGCAGCAACGCCGCGUGGAGGAUGACGCAUUUCGGUGUGUAAACUCCUUUUAUAUGUCAAGAAAAUGACGGUAGCAUAUGAAUAAGCGCCGGCUAACUCCGUGCCAGCAGCCGCGGUAAUACGGAGGGCGCAAGCGUUACUCGGAAUCACUGGGCGUAAAGGACGCGUAGGCGGGUUGAAAAGUCAGGUGUGAAAGCCUACAGCUUAACUGUAGAACUGCACUUGAAACCCUCAAUCUAGAGUAUGGGAGGGGCAGAUGGAAUUAGUGGUGUAGGGGUAAAAUCCGUAGAUAUCACUAGGAAUACCUAAAGCGAAGGCGAUCUGCUGGAACAUUACUGACGCUAAGGCGUGAAAGCGUGGGGAGCAAACAGGAUUAGAUACCCUCGUAGUC
RNAcentral lists this ribosomal RNA (439 nucleotides) under uncultured bacterium. RNAcentral describes it as "partial 16S ribosomal RNA". It matches the Rfam family "Bacterial small subunit ribosomal RNA", at positions 339 to 795 of the family's 1533-position model. The record is from RNAcentral.